RNAcentral lists this ribosomal RNA (578 nucleotides) under uncultured bacterium. RNAcentral's name for it is "partial 16S ribosomal RNA". It matches the Rfam family "Bacterial small subunit ribosomal RNA", at positions 355 to 925 of the family's 1533-position model. The record is from RNAcentral.
UGGGGAAUUUUGGACAAUGGGCGAAAGCCUGAUCCAGCAAUGCCGCGUGUGUGAAGAAGGCCUUCGGGUUGUAAAGCACUUUUGUCCGGAAAGAAAUCCUCUGGGUUAAUACCUCGGGGGAUGACGGUACCGGAAGAAUAAGCACCGGCUAACUACGUGCCAGCAGCCGCGGUAAUACGUAGGGUGCAAGCGUUAAUCGGAAUUACUGGGCGUAAAGCGUGCGUAGGCGGUUUCUUAAGUCUGCUGUGAAAUCCCCGGGCUCAACCUGGGAAUGGCAGUGGAUACUGGGAGGCUAGAGUGUGUCAGAGGGUGGUGGAAUUCCCGGUGUAGCGGUGAAAUGCGUAGAGAUCGGGAGGAACAUCAGUGGCGAAGGCGGCCACCUGGGACAACACUGACGCUGAGGCACGAAAGCGUGGGGAGCAAACAGGAUUAGAUACCCUGGUAGUCCACGCCCUAAACGAUGCGAACUGGAUGUUGGUCUCAACUCGGAGAUCAGUGUCGAAGCUAACGCGUUAAGUUCGCCGCCUGGGGAGUACGGUCGCAAGACUGAAACUCAAAGGAAUUGACGGGGUCAUAGC